Etheostoma spectabile (orangethroat darter) is the source of this 143-nucleotide long non-coding RNA. RefSeq lists it as uncharacterized. The record is from RefSeq and is a predicted model, not a curated record. NCBI's taxonomy places the organism in Eukaryota, Metazoa, Chordata, Actinopteri, Perciformes, Percidae. The transcript is spliced from 3 exons.
UGUCCACUUUCAAAAAAAACAAGACGACGACAGCCAAAUUGCCAAACUCAAGGCCUUAAAACGGCAGUCCACAAACCAAUGGGUGACAUCACUGCUGCUACGUCCACUAUUUUUACACUCGAUGCAUUGCAUCCAAAUUAGUU